Xenopus tropicalis (tropical clawed frog) is the source of this 69-nucleotide small nucleolar RNA. The record is from Ensembl. Lineage: Eukaryota; Metazoa; Chordata; Amphibia; Anura; Pipidae.
CUAAAACCUGAUGAGUUCUAUUACCGCCCCAGUCUGAUUAUCUGUGACUGAAUGGUAUCUUCUGAUUGC